CUAAGGUAGCGAAAUUCCUUGUCGGGUAAGUUCCGACCUGCACGAAUGGCGUAACGAUGGCCACACUGUCUCCUCCUGAGACUCAGCGAAGUUGAAAUGUUUGUGAUGAUGCAAUCUCCCCGCGGAAAGACGGAAAGACCCCAUGAACCUUUACUGUAGCUUUGUAUUGGACUUUGAACAGAUCUGUGUAGGAUAGGUGGGAGGCUUUGAAGCGGGAACGCCAGUUCUCGUGGAGCCGUCCUUGAAAUACCACCCUUGUAUGUUUGAUGUUCUAACGUAGGUCCCUUAUCGGGACUGCGGACAGUGUCUGGUGGGUAGUUUGACUGGGGCGGUCUCCUCCUAAAGAGUAACGGAGGAGCACGAAGGUGUGCUAAUCAUGGUCGGAAAUCAUGAGGUUAGUGUAAAGGCAAAAGCACGCUUGACUGCGAGACAGACAUGUCGAGCAGGUACGAAAGUAGGUCUUAGUGAUCCGGUGGUUCUGUAUGGAAGGGCCAUCGCUCAACGGAUAAAAGGUACUCUGGGGAUAACAGGCUGAUACCGCCCAAGAGUUCAUAUCGACGGCGGUGUUUGGCACCUCGAUGUCGGCUCAUCUCAUCCUGGGGCUGUAGCCGGUCCCAAGGGUAUGGCUGUUCGCCAUUUAAAGAGGUACGUGAGCUGGGUUUAAAACGUCGUGAGACAGUUUGGUCCCUAUCUUCCGUGGGCGCUGCAAGAUUGAGAGAGCCUGCUCCUAGUACGAGAGGACCGGAGUGGACACACCUCUGGUGUAUCGGUUGUCACGCCAGUGGCAUUGCCGAGUAGCUAAGUGUGGAAGAGAUAACCGCUGAAAGCAUCUAAGCGGGAAACUCGUUUCAAGAUGAGAUCUGCCGGGGCCUUGAGCCCCCUAAAGAGUCGUUCAAGACCAGGACGUUGAUAGGCAGGGUGUGGAAGCGCAGUAAUGCGUUAAGCUAACCAGUACUAAUUGCCCGUGAGGCUUGAGCCC
RNAcentral lists this ribosomal RNA (979 nucleotides) under Azolla filiculoides. Its description in RNAcentral is "bacterial LSU rRNA". It matches the Rfam family "Bacterial large subunit ribosomal RNA", at positions 1951 to 2925 of the family's 2925-position model. The record is from RNAcentral. Lineage: Eukaryota; Viridiplantae; Streptophyta; Polypodiopsida; Salviniales; Salviniaceae.